CCCCUCUUAGGGUCGCACUUGGAGAGUUUCCAGUGCUCUACCAAUCUCAGCUACAGGAAGGACAGUGAGGCAGAGGCCUGUCCAUUCCAUUCUUAGCUUGGCCAGUGGCUAGCGACUGGAAGGCAAUCUGCUACAAGG
This is a small nucleolar RNA of Ornithorhynchus anatinus (platypus), 138 nucleotides long. The record is from RefSeq and is a predicted model, not a curated record. Lineage: Eukaryota; Metazoa; Chordata; Mammalia; Monotremata; Ornithorhynchidae.